This 489-nucleotide ribosomal RNA is filed under the name uncultured bacterium. Its description in RNAcentral is "bacterial SSU rRNA". It matches the Rfam family "Bacterial small subunit ribosomal RNA", at positions 8 to 518 of the family's 1533-position model. The record is from RNAcentral.
AGAGUUUGAUUAUGGCUCAGGACGAACGCUGGCGGCGUGCUUCAUACAUGCAAGUCGAACGAUAAGGCCCCUUCGGGGGUACAUAAGUGGCGGACGGGUGAGUAAAAUGUAGAGAAUCUGCCCUUAAGCGGGGGACAACAGAGGGAAACUUCUGCUAAUACCCCAUAUGAGCGUAUCUGAAAUGGUAUUCUUGAAAACUCCGGUGCUUAAGGAUGAGUCUGCAUCUGAUUAGCUAGUUGGGGGUGUAAUGGACCACCAAGGCGACGAUCAGUAGCUGGUUUGAGAGGAUGAUCAGCCACAAUGGGACUGAGACACGGCCCAUACUCCUACGGGAGGCAGCAGUAGGGAAUUUUGCGCAAUGGGGGAAACCCUGACGCAGCAACGCCGCGUGACCGAUGAAGCCCUUCGGGGUGUAAAGGUCUGUCAGUGGGGACGAAACUUGACGGUACCCACAGAGGAAGCAUCGGCUAACUCCGUGCCAGCCGCCGC